Non-coding RNA from Castor canadensis (American beaver), 545 nucleotides. The record is from RefSeq and is a predicted model, not a curated record. Lineage: Eukaryota; Metazoa; Chordata; Mammalia; Rodentia; Castoridae.
AGCAACAUGCUAGACGGGUCUAUGAAAUUCUUCGACUGCUAGUAACUGACAUGAGUGAUGCUGAACAAUACAGAAGCUAUAGACUGGAUAUUAAAAAGAGACUAAUUAGCCCAUAUAAGAAAAAGCAAAGAGAUCUUGCUAAAAUGAGAAAAUGUCUCAGACCAGAAGAACUGACAAAUCAGAUGAAUCAGAUAGAAAUAAACAUGCAACAUGAACAGCUGGAAGAAAGUUUUCAGGAACUAGUAGAAGAUUACAGACGUGUUAUUGAAAGGCUCGCUCAAGAAUAAAGAUUAUACUACUUUGUACGGGAAGCUUGCAAAUUUCUAUACAUCGUGCUGUGAAAAACUCAAUGAUUUUAAUUUUAAAAUCUUGUGACAUUUUACUUACAUUAAAAGUUAUCUUUAGUUGAAUAUUUUCUUUUGGAGAGAUUGUAUAUUUUAAAAUACUGUCUAGAGUUUAUGAGCAUAUAUUACAUUAAAUAUAUAGCUUCUGAAAUGCCACCACAAUUGCUUUUCUUUUUAAACAGUGUAAUAAAUGCUUAGUUG